This is a long non-coding RNA of Scylla paramamosain (green mud crab), 1170 nucleotides long. RefSeq lists it as uncharacterized. The transcript has 6 exons. NCBI's taxonomy places the organism in Eukaryota, Metazoa, Arthropoda, Malacostraca, Decapoda, Portunidae. The record is from RefSeq and is a predicted model, not a curated record.
UCCCUUGGACCCUUGCAGCUGGGAGAAAGAAGAAGUUCCCGUAAGUUUAUAAUCACCGCUUGAGUUGUGUGCUUUCUCUAGGUGUAAGUGUCACAAGAGACACAAGAACCCGGUGAAUCUGGAGGUGCAAGAAAACUGACGCAGGAGCUCAGCCAUGCAAGAGGAAACAGCUGACUUCUACCCUCGCACCUUGGGAUCCCCUUGGGCACACCGCUCGCUAAGAUAAGAAUGGAGUGGAAGAAUAUAAUAGGAGAGACGCCAGCAAGACACCCGAUAGAUGCUUGGUCUGAAGACUGAUAUCACUUGCAGCCUGUCAGGAGGAGGAGAUGAAGGAGGAGGAAGAGGAGGAACACAAAGAAACUCUCCUCGCGUCUGGCUUGGAGGGAAGGAGGCGGCGUCAGGAAUCAGACUGAGUGGUCGUCGUGGAGGUGGUUGCGUCCCCAGCGUGUAUCCGGCAGGGCAGGCAGCUCCGCCACGCCCCUUCUGCACAUGUACCUACAGACGGAGGCUCGUUCCCUCUUGACUGACUGGCUGACUGGCUGACUGACUGACUGACUGUCGCCGCCGCCUCACGCUGAUAUUAAGGUGUGCGGGCGGGCGGGACAGGCUACCGUUGUGAGCGGCGACCUCCCACUUGUAUGCUUGGUGGUGGCUCGCCUCGCCUGGUGUCCUGAUGGUAUGUGGUGACUGUUUCUUCUUGUAUGAGGGGAGGGAGGAGUAGAGUAAGGUCAUUAGAGUCUUUUUUUUUUUUUAAUUUGCAAUGUUAGUUCGAUGUAGAAAGUAAAGUAAUUAAGUAGAUCGUUUGUUGAUUAACAUCUUCAGUGGUUGGUGUGUAAGUUGAAGGUAAACUCUGUCUAGCGGCCUUGGAGUGUAUAUAGAAGACGGACACGAGAUUAACUUGGCAAAGAUAGAGACUUGGAAUUUUGAGUGAGUGAGUAACAGGAAAUAUUUAGAUUGAAAGUUUUAAGCGCGUGAAUUAGGUGAAAAGGAACUAACUGGGCAGGAAUAGAUACGUGAAAAUUUGAGAAGUGCAAGGAAGAUGGAAGAUGAAAGGAAGUUUGUUUUGAUGAAAUUUGAAUUGAGCAGUUGAAAUAUUCACGCAGAACAGUGUCUUCGGAAUAAAUCGUAUUAUCGGCCAUUUUAGAGAUUUAUAACAGCAUAAGGCACUGA